AUGGAGGGCGAACUGCUGGGGAAGAAGCAACUCAGCCCCCCCAACAGGAGGCGGUGGUGCAGAUGCAGCACGACCACGGUGACGCUGCUGCUCUUCCUGGUCACCAACACCACCUCCAUCCUCCUCUCCUCCGGCGCCGGCGCCUCGGUCGUCCGCCGCUACGAGCCCGCCACCGUCCGCCUCUGGGACGACUCCGCCGCCCUCCUCGCGGACCUCAAUGCCACGCGGUCCGCGCUCGAGUCCAGCCGCGUCGAGCUCGCGGGCCUCCACGCGCGCCUCGGCACCGCCACCGCGCUCCUCCAGACCCUCCUCGCCGAAGCGCGCGGCGGCGAUGAUCAGCAGAAGGAGGAGGCGCCCGCGUCCGGCAACGGGUGGUGGGCGCGCGAGCUGGCCGGCGAGCUCAAGCUGGCUGUCGGGAACGCCACCGCCGGCGAGGCGGCUCUUGGCCACGCGUGCGGCCGCUUCCAGGACGAGCUCGAGCGAUACAUGGACUACAAGCCCGGCGGCGAGUGCCCGUCCGACGCGGCGCUCGAGCACCUGCUCAUGCGUGGGGGCUGCGAGCCCCUGCCUCGGCGGCGUUGCCGGCCGCGGUCACCGGCGGGGUACGUGGAGCCAGCGCCGCUGCCGAAGAGCCUGUGGUCAAUGCCGGCGGACGCCAGCGUCGUCUGGGACGCAUACCACCCGUGCAAGAACUACUCGUGCAUGGCGAGCCGCGGCUUGGGCUUCGACCUCCGCGGCCGGCGCGAGAAGGGCCUGUGGACGCGCGACGACGCCGCGCUCGCCUACUCCGUCGACACGGCGCUCGCGGCCAAGCCCAAGGGCACGGUGCGCAUCGGACUCGACAUCGGCGGCGGGGGCGGCACGUUCGCGGCCCGGAUGCGCGAGCACGGGGUGACCGUAGUGACCGCGACCACCAACACUGGGGCGCCGUUCGGCAGCUUCAUCGCCUCGCGGGGGCUCAUACCACUGCACGUCGGCCCGGCGCGCCGCCUGCCCUUCUUCGACGGCACGCUCGACGUCGUACACGCGGGACGCGAGCUGACGGGCGGCUGGAUGGUGCCCGGCGACGGCGUGGCGCUGGAGUUCGCGCUGUUCGACGUCUACAGGGUUCUCAGGCCCGGGGGGCUGUUCUGGCUGGACCACUUCGUGUUCCCCGGCGCGCAGCUGAACGCAACGUACGCUCCAAUGCUUCACCGCGUGGGGUUCAAGAGGCUGCGGUGGAACGCCGGCCAGAAGCCGGACGGCGGAGUGGAGAAGAACGAGUGGUACCUCUCGGCGCUGCUCCAGAAGCCCAUGACAUGA
RNAcentral lists this ribosomal RNA (1302 nucleotides) under Triticum aestivum (bread wheat). RNAcentral describes it as "partial small subunit ribosomal RNA". Lineage: Eukaryota; Viridiplantae; Streptophyta; Magnoliopsida; Poales; Poaceae. The record is from RNAcentral.